Long non-coding RNA from Fukomys damarensis (Damara mole-rat), 2094 nucleotides. The record is from Ensembl. Lineage: Eukaryota; Metazoa; Chordata; Mammalia; Rodentia; Bathyergidae.
AUGGCGCUCAGGGCCUUGCUGUUGCUGGAAAUGGCUGCUGUUCUUGUCGGGAGCUCUGAUCUUCACCACGAGCAUCACUUCCUAGCUCCAGUGUCGAUCCCUCAGCCUGGUGGAACCAAUUCUUCACCUCACCUGCACAGGUUUUCUGUCUUCCACCAAUGGCCCUUGGGCCUUCAGGUCUCUGGUGACAAUGUGUGCACACCUGUCCUGAGUCCUCAGUCACAGCCACACCCGCAGAAGUGCUGUGAAGUCCCAAACCACACAGGUCUGUUACCAUCCAGCUUGUGGGUUCUCUUCUCAGCCCAGAAAGAAUUACAAGGUAAGAGAAUCAAGAGAGGACUGAGAAAAAGUAUUUAUUGUAUAGCAAGAGCAGACAGCAGCAUUUAUUGCAAAGAAAAAACAAACAGCUCCCAGGCAAAUGAACCCCGGAGGGGGCCCAAAAAGGGCUAAGGGACUCUUUUGUCUAGGGUCUUUACACAUGAAAACGACUACACUCUCAGCCAAGCUGAGAUCAACCUACAAGGUUACAGUGAGGAACAGGUGACGUACAUGUGGGCCUGUAGGAGCUCAGGCAAUGUAGUAGGCGCACAUUUGUAAGCACCAUUAAUUGUAACUAAACAGAACAAAGACAUUUUUUAGAGGGGUAAGAAUAUCUUAUUUCUGGGCAUGAAAAUCUCACCAAUUUAACGAGGCCUUUGUUUGCUGAGCCUCCAGGUGUCUGGCCUUGGUCAUCCACACAGCCUUCCCUGAGUUUUUUGGACACCUCUCUGGCUCGGCCUUCUCCUGGCUGCCUGUAACUCCUUCGCCAGGGCUCUGCUCGCAGCCUCCACAAACACAUAAACUGCCAGGCUCCGACCCCUCACUUUCUUAACGGAAUCAAUUUAAGGCCUUCAGCUGUGUCCUGGAAGUUGCAGUCUUCUUGUGGAGCACAGCCAUUAUGAUUUCUUUGUCUCCUUUCUACCUUUUAUUUUUUCUAUCCUACCUCAGGACUACAAAUUGCUUCAGUGUGUGGCAAUUUUGUAUAUCACACACACAUUUUUUUCUUUUCAUUGAGUUUAUUGGUACAUUCUAGGUAUACAGUACAGUUACAUUUAUUACUGGGAUCUUGUACCUUUAAUGACAGGUCUUGGUUCUCAUUUUUUCCCCUUGUUCCUGCCCUCCCUUCACCCCUUCCUCCCCUCCCCAUUUACUAACACUUUAUUUCCAUUUUUUCAUUUUCUCAUAUUUUUUAUUUUCCCUUAUUCCCUUGCCCCUACCCUUCCCACUUUCUCUACACCUUUAGCCCUUUUCUUCCUAUUUCACAUUGUUAAUUAUCUCAUUAUCACACACAUUUUUUAAACCAGAGUUCUCUCUUCUUUUGAAUGGUCUACGUACCAUAAUUUAAUCCACCAGUUCUAACUGAUGGGCCUGGAAAGUACCUGCAAUUCUCUUUUUCAAAUGGUCACAUUCUGGUUUCUGGAGGAUUGAGUCCUUAAAGUGAGACUGUUAGAUCACCAAGCUACCGAUAAGUGCUACCAAAAUUUUUUCUAAACAGUUGUGUCAGUUUAGACACAAUGACAAUUACUCAGCUGUGUGUGAGGGCAAUAGGACCUGACAAUCAGACCAACUGAAUUUUAGGUGAAAUUUUAUUUGCCCUAUCUGUAAAAUCCAAAGGUAUUACAGUCAACAUAAUACUGAAUGGUGAGAAGCCAUUAAGUCCACCCAUUAGAACUAAUCAAGUAAAUAAUUGAUGCGUUUUCACUACUAACUGUGAGGCCGGGGAUGUAGCUCAGCGGUUCGGUGGCCUGCCUUGCAAGCACAAGAACCCAAGUUCAAUCCCCGGUAGCCCCCCCAAAAAUAAAUACAAUAAAAUUCACUACUAACUCUGUGUGUGUGUGUGUGUGUGUGUGUGUGUGUGUGUGUGUGUGUUUAUGAGACAGGACCUCACUAAUUUGCUAAUUUGCCCAGGCUGGGAUCAAAUUUAUGAUUAUCCUGCCUCAGCUUCCCUGAAAGCUGGGAUUAGAAGUGUGUACCACUAUGCCUGGCAAUUAAUUUUAGAAAAACUUAUGUUGUUUUUAGGGAAACAACUUAGAUAUACUAAGUGUUAGAAAGCAG